RNAcentral lists this unclassified non-coding RNA (1373 nucleotides) under Leishmania donovani. RNAcentral describes it as "gene:LdHU3.28.1820(CDS-product:haloacid_dehalogen ase-like_hydrolase/Sucrose-6F-phosphate_phosphohydrolase_pu tative)". The record is from RNAcentral. Lineage: Eukaryota; Euglenozoa; Kinetoplastea; Trypanosomatida; Trypanosomatidae.
CCUACAGGCGCAGACACGCCCAUCUCCUCCGCUUCCCUGUGCCACAUGCUCAGCACUCUCUUGCUUAGAGCCACCACCACGGCGCCGGCGAUGGGUGGUGCUGCCGCUGCAAGCGACAUUCCGUUUCGCUUUGUCGCCUGUGACAUGGACGGCACCGUCCUCUCGCCGCACCACACCCUCAGCGAGUACACGGCAGAGACGCUGCGCCGACUAACGCAAGAUCACAACGUGCCCUGUAUCUUCGCUACUGGACGCGUCUACGCCGACGUGGCCGUCAUCAACCAAAACAUGCAGCGCUUUUUCCAGGAGCGUCGCCAGCAGCUGCCGCCGGUACCAGCCACCGCGUCGGCCCACACCCCUACCUACAUCAUCACGUCCAACGGGGCAGUCGUCCACGACGCCGAGACCGGCGAGCUAGUGCUUGAGCACGCCCUCGACCCAGCCGUCGUCCGUGAAAUCUAUCACCUGCUCCCGACCAGCGAGACGCGCAUCAACACUGGCAUCAUCCAAGGCGAGCACUGGUUCUACCGCAUGAACUGGGAAGAGAUGCUGCAGUUCCACAAGGAAUCGGGGUAUCGGUACCAGGUGCUGGAGCUCAUCCCCGACGGUGACGAUACGAAGGGCAUCGAAGCCACGAGCACGCCGACCGUCGCCUCGUCAGCCGCCGGCGGUAACCUCGACCAUGUGCACAAGAUCUUCUUCUCGAGCUGGAAUCCAACCCUACUGGAGAAGCUGGAGCAGGCGCUUCAGCAACGCUACGGCGACGACUUGACAGUGACCUUCUCAGCGCCCCACAAUGUUGAUAUCACCGCCAAAGGGGUGACAAAGGCGUGGGCCCUGGAGCGUCUCUACGCGCUAAUGGCGCCCUUGCCGCACGAGACGGCGUCAACGGCGACGCCAGCGCAGCGACUGAAGGCCACCGUCGCAUUCGGCGAUGACCUCAAUGAUGCCGCGAUGCUGAGCAGCGUGGGCCGCGGCUUCAUCAUGGGCAACUGCAGCCCGAAGCUUCGGCAGCAAUGCCCGGAGCUGGAGGUGAUUCAGACUAAUACCGAGGACGCUGUCGCCCGCAAGCUGCGCGAGGUGUUCCGCUUGGAAUAGCCCCCCACCCCUUCUUUUCCGAAAGGGGACGGACGGAAUAGAGGGGACAGAGCACUGGCGUAAGGUGCACCGACACAAAACACGGAGUAUCCUGCAUCCCUGUGCAGUUGCCGGAUGUGGUGCCGCGCGGCUCUUGCCGCUUGAGCGCACACAUCCAGAGCACCGGUUUCCUUACUCUCAUUUGCAGGCGUGUUUACGCCCCGAGUAGCCGAAGAGGGUGGCUGAUCGCCACCUCUCGGUCUCUCUUGCUCUCUAGUGGGAUGCCCGGACGUGUG